Monodelphis domestica (gray short-tailed opossum) is the source of this 105-nucleotide small nuclear RNA. NCBI's taxonomy places the organism in Eukaryota, Metazoa, Chordata, Mammalia, Didelphimorphia, Didelphidae. The record is from Ensembl.
UGGUUGUAUGAAAGGAGAGAAGGAUGGAAAAGGCCCUGGUGACCUUCACAAUGUACAUACAGUUAAGGCACUGUCACCUAUGCUGUGGCAUCUAGCCAUGUUUGG